RNAcentral lists this transfer RNA (72 nucleotides) under compost metagenome. Its description in RNAcentral is "tRNA-Pro". It matches the Rfam family "tRNA". From Rfam's summary of the family: Transfer RNA (tRNA) molecules are approximately 80 nucleotides in length. Their secondary structure includes four short double-helical elements and three loops (D, anti-codon, and T loops). The record is from RNAcentral.
CGUAGCGCAGCCUGGUAGCGCACCUGAUUUGGGAUCAGGGGGUCGGAGGUUCGAAUCCUCUCGCUCCGACCA